Molecule: long non-coding RNA, 490 nt
Filed under: Ananas comosus (pineapple)
Lineage: Eukaryota; Viridiplantae; Streptophyta; Magnoliopsida; Poales; Bromeliaceae
Description: long non-coding RNA (ACOM_LNC028371)
Source: RNAcentral
GUAAAAUUUAAGUUAUCAGAUUUAUCCCUUCAAGAUUCUUCCGUCUGUAAAUAUAUUAUUCUAUUAAAAAAAUUUAUAUAACCAUGAGUUAAACAAACUAAUUACAGUUAAUUAAGGGAUAAAAUAACCUUUUUAUCCUUUAUAUAUAAAUUUAUAUAUAAUUUUUUGAGAGAGAUAAGUAGCAUGUUACCCACUUCGUUUAUUUCAUUUAGAAAAAAAUUUAGCUGAAAAUGUGAAUUAACUAGAAUUCGAACUUGGGUCUCGAGUACCAACCACCAAUCCUUUGCCACUUGAUAAAGUUAAAAUUAAAAAAUACUAAAGUGAAUAUUCGAUAAACCUAUGUGGAGAUAUCUGAAAUUUUUUGUAUAUAAUUUAACAAAAUAUUAACUAAAAAAUUAACGAAAAAAUAAAAUUAAAUUUAUAAGACAAUAUAUUUUAAAUCACGAAAUACUAAAAGGAGAACGUGCGAAACCACAUGGGUGGUUAUUGA